AGCGAACGCUGGCGGCGUGCCUAACACAUGCAAGUCGAACGUGAAAGGGAGCAAUCCCAAGUAAAGUGGCGUACGGGUGAGUAACACGUAGGUAAUCUACCCCAGACUCUGGAAUAACCGGCCGAAAGGCUGGCUAAUACUGGAUAGAGCGACGGAAUCCGUAAUUGGGUUUUUCGGGAAAGGGAGCCUGUAAAAAGGCCUUCGUUCUGGGAUGAGCCUGCGUCCCAUCAGCUAGUUGGUGAGGUAAAAGCUUACCAAGGCAAUGACGGGUAGCUGGUCUGAGAUGACGGUCAGCCACACUGGGACUGAAACACGGUCCAGACUCCUACGGGAGGCAGCAGUGGGGAAUCGUGCGCAAGGGACGAAAGUCUGACGCAGCAACGCCGCGUGAGGGAAGAAGGCCUUCGGGUUGGAAAGCUCUGUCGAGUGGGACGAAAAUGCUUGGAGUUCACAGCUCCAGGAACUGACGGUACCACUAAAGGAAGCACCGGCUAACUCCGUG
RNAcentral lists this ribosomal RNA (502 nucleotides) under uncultured bacterium. RNAcentral's name for it is "partial 16S ribosomal RNA". It matches the Rfam family "Bacterial small subunit ribosomal RNA", at positions 29 to 507 of the family's 1533-position model. The record is from RNAcentral.